Molecule: ribosomal RNA, 208 nt
Filed under: uncultured bacterium
Lineage: Bacteria
Description: partial 16S ribosomal RNA
Rfam family: Bacterial small subunit ribosomal RNA
Source: RNAcentral
CGUGUAGGCGGCCAGACAGGUCCGUUGUAGAAACUAGAGGCUUAACCCUCUAGACGUCGAUGGAAACCGUCUGGCUAGAGUCCGGAAGAGGAGAAUGGAAUUCCUGGUGUAGCGGUGAAAUGCGCAGAUAUCAGGAAGAACACCCGUGGCUAAGGCGGUUCUCUAGUACGGUACUGACGCUGAGACGCGAAAGCGUGGGGAGCGAACA